UCUAGUUCUAAUUAAGUUUCAGAGAGUAAGAGUGACCUCCAAAAUAAUUCAAAUUUAUGUAUACAUAACAGCCAUGUAUACAGUGAAUUGGAAGUCUGUAGCUUUUCCGGCAUUCAAGGGAGGCGUGUAAGUACAAGUAAACGAUCGAUUAUUAUCGAUAUACAAAACGGAAUGCGCACGGGCAGAUCAAUCGACUCGGCUCAUAAUCCUCAUACACAUGCAUAUACUUUCAGUGCUCUGCCUUGGCUCAAUCUCUCUCUUAUAUUACGAUCCCCUUAACGGCAUUCGCAUCUUUCUAUAGUGAAUAUCCUAUUAUCGAUAAUAAUCUAUAUUAUCCGAUAGUCGGAUAUGGUAUUUAAGGAUUAUUUAAAGUACCAUUAAAUUGAGUUUAACUAGUUGUUUCAGCAUGAACAUGGCAUUGACGGCCUCCUGUUGACGUAGACCCUGGAGGGAUUAUUUCCGACGCCUAUCGAGUAUAUGGAUCUAAGUAAAACAUUUAUGCCCCAUGUUCUCUGGAUUACUCGAUGUGAGACGCCAUGGAUUAGAUUAAGAUACUACGUAAGAAUUCUAAAUAAAAGACGUCGCUCUUGGAGAGACUAUAAUUGUAGCACAA
This is a long non-coding RNA of Drosophila arizonae, 613 nucleotides long. Lineage: Eukaryota; Metazoa; Arthropoda; Insecta; Diptera; Drosophilidae. The record is from RefSeq and is a predicted model, not a curated record.